UUCUCCAAGUGCACACGCGUGAAAGCCAGGCAUUAUGGACUGGAGUGCAACAGGGUUGGAGGGCGUUUUUAAGUAGUAUAGAGCGGUGUUCAAGGAUACACGUUAGAAAGAACAUCGAUUGGGUAUCAUACCACAAAGGCAUGUGAAACACUGCGAGGGACGUUUGUACCGGUGAUCGAGUUUCUACUCUGGCCCAUCAGCUGAAUAGGUGGGGCUUGAUCAAUGGCAGGAAACUGAAGGAUCAAAUGGUAAUAUAUCAGAAUAAGCCUGAGCCAAAGUCUGCACUCAGCCACACACACACACACACAGACACUUAAACCUAGACAGAGGCCAAUGUGACCACAGAAACUGUAACCUGCACACUGACACAGAGAGUUGGUAACCUUCCUCUGUGCUAUA
Long non-coding RNA from Cyprinus carpio carpio, 399 nucleotides. The record is from Ensembl. NCBI's taxonomy places the organism in Eukaryota, Metazoa, Chordata, Actinopteri, Cypriniformes, Cyprinidae.